UUUUUGAAAAAUAACGACGUCUCUGAGGCGCGAAAUCUGACAGCGAGAGGAACGGCCGGAUACAGGAGACGGGAAGAAACAAGCCGAUUAUGUUCGCGUUAAUUAAGUGGUUGGAAGAUGUAAAAUUCUCAAUUCUGCCAACUGAACAUAUACGAGAUUUUAAUGAGGAUGAAUAAUUAGCCGGCAUGGAGGAAACGGACCUUUAUUUCGUGGAGUGGCGACAAGAAGCCAAGGCGGGUGGCCAGUCUAAGAAGCCUCCAUCAUCAAGCUAGCAGAAAUCCUACCUCUCCUUCUGGCUACAGAGUACUUACCAAGCCCAUGAAAUCGAAUGCAGAUCUUCCUAAUGUGAGAUUUACAUAAAUAUGUCAAAGUCUCAACCUCAUGCUGCCCUCCCCCAUCCUCCUAAACCUGUGGAUACAAAUGCAGAUUUCCUUAAUGUUCAAUGGUGCGUGUUCUUCUAAUGGCCGCCUUCCCACUGGAGGUUUUGAUCCACAGCAAUUUAAAAGGUAAUCAGCUUUGAAAGUCAGUUCAAAUGGUUAGCUAAUAGUACUUUAAAAAGCCUACAACUCUGUCACCAGUUUCUUUACCAAAAAUUACCCAUAAAA
This is a non-coding RNA of Maylandia zebra (zebra mbuna), 605 nucleotides long. Lineage: Eukaryota; Metazoa; Chordata; Actinopteri; Cichliformes; Cichlidae. The record is from RefSeq and is a predicted model, not a curated record.